This 468-nucleotide ribosomal RNA is filed under the name uncultured bacterium. Its description in RNAcentral is "partial 16S ribosomal RNA". It matches the Rfam family "Bacterial small subunit ribosomal RNA", at positions 28 to 507 of the family's 1533-position model. The record is from RNAcentral.
GACGAACGCUGGCGGCGUGCUUAACACAUGCAAGUCGAACGGAAAGGCCCUGCUUUUGUGGGGUGCUCGAGUGGCGAACGGGUGAGUAACACGUGAGUAGCCUGCCCUUGACUUUGGGAUAACUUCAGGAAACUGGGGCUAAUACCGGAUAGGAGCUCCUGCUGCAUGGUGUGGGUUGGAAAGUUUCGGCGGUUGGGGAUGGACUCGCGGCUUAUCAGCUUGUUGGUGGGGUAGUGGCUUACCAAGGCUUUGACGGGUAGCCGGCCUGAGAGGGUGACCGGCGACAUUGGGACUGAGAUACGGCCCAGACUCCUACGGGAGGCAGCAGUGGGGAAUAUGGCACAAUGGGCGGAAGCCUGAUGCAGCAACGCCGCGUGCGGGAUGACGGCCUUCGGGUUGUAAACCGCUUUCGCCUGUGACGAAGCGUGAGUGACGGUAAUGGGUAAAGAAGCACCGGCUAACUACGUG